UACGUAGGUGGCAAGCGUUGUCCGGAAUUAUUGGGCGUAAAGAGCUCGUAGGCGGUCUGUCGCGUCGGCUGUGAAAACCCGCGGCUCAACCUCGGGCCUGCAGUCGAUACGGGCAGACUAGAGUGCGGUAGGGGAGUCUGGAAUUCCUGGUGUAGCGGUGAAAUGCGCAGAUAUCAGGAGGAACACCGGUGGCGAAGGCGGGACUCUGGGCCGAUACUGACGCUGAGGAGCGAAAGCGUGGGGAGCAAACAGG
Molecule: ribosomal RNA, 253 nt
Filed under: uncultured bacterium
Lineage: Bacteria
Description: partial 16S ribosomal RNA
Rfam family: Bacterial small subunit ribosomal RNA
Source: RNAcentral